This is a small nuclear RNA of Heterocephalus glaber (naked mole-rat), 134 nucleotides long. Its record names the gene U4. It matches the Rfam family "U4 spliceosomal RNA". Rfam says of the family: U4 small nuclear RNA (U4 snRNA) is a component of the major U2-dependent spliceosome. The structure of U4 snRNA from yeast and human has been reported. U4 snRNA presents a k-turn RNA motif in the 5p-SL related to recognition of Snu13 protein. The record is from Ensembl. NCBI's taxonomy places the organism in Eukaryota, Metazoa, Chordata, Mammalia, Rodentia, Bathyergidae.
AGCUUUGCGCAGCGGCAGUAUCAUAGCCAAUGAGGUUUGUCCGAGGCGUGAUUAUUGCUAAUUGAAACAUCAUGCUUCCUUUAUUUAUCAGUCUGUUGAUCAAUAUAUACCAAAAUUUAGCUAUUAUGAAUUAU